UCCAGGAUUGAUGCGUUGGUCCAAUGCGCC
This 30-nucleotide small RNA is filed under the name Bombyx mori (domestic silkworm). Its description in RNAcentral is "ovarian small RNA-26834". The record is from RNAcentral. Lineage: Eukaryota; Metazoa; Arthropoda; Insecta; Lepidoptera; Bombycidae.